RNAcentral lists this ribosomal RNA (406 nucleotides) under uncultured bacterium. Its description in RNAcentral is "partial 16S ribosomal RNA". It matches the Rfam family "Bacterial small subunit ribosomal RNA", at positions 30 to 526 of the family's 1533-position model. The record is from RNAcentral.
AUUGAACGCUGGCGGCAGGCCUAACACAUGCAAGUCGAGCGAGCGGCGGACGGGUGAGUAAUGUCUGGGAAACUGCCCGAUGGAGGGGGAUAACUACUGGAAACGGUAGCUAAUACCGCAUACUAUCGGAUGUGCCCAUAUGGGAUUAGCUAGUAGGUGGGGUAAUGGCUCACCUAGGCGACGAUCCCUAGCUGGGCUGAGAGGAUGAUCAGCCACACUGGAACUGAGAAACGGUCCAGACUCCUACGGGAGGCAGCAGUGGGGAAUAUUGCACAAUGGGCGCAAGCCUGAUGCAGCCAUGCCGCGUGUGUGAAGAAGGCCUUCGGGUUGUAAAGCACUUUCAGUCGGGAGGCGUUACCGACAGAAGAAGCACCGGCUAACUCCGUGCCAGCAGCCGCGGUAAUUC